RNAcentral lists this ribosomal RNA (253 nucleotides) under uncultured bacterium. RNAcentral describes it as "partial 16S ribosomal RNA". It matches the Rfam family "Bacterial small subunit ribosomal RNA", at positions 524 to 776 of the family's 1533-position model. The record is from RNAcentral.
UACAGAGGGGGCGAGCGUUGUUCGGAAUUACUGGGCGUAAAGGGCGCGUAGGCGGCCCGCUAAGUCGAACGUGAAAUCCCCAGGCUCAACCUGGGAACUGCGUCCGAUACUGGCAGGCUUGAAUCCGGGAGAGGGAUGUAGAAUUCCAGGUGUAGCGGUGAAAUGCGUAGAUAUCUGGAGGAACACCGGUGGCGAAGGCGGGUCUCUGGGCCGAUACUGACGCUGAGGAGCGAAAGCGUGGGGAGCGAACAGG